Molecule: transfer RNA, 64 nt
Filed under: Cteniopinus ruber
Lineage: Eukaryota; Metazoa; Arthropoda; Insecta; Coleoptera; Tenebrionidae
Description: tRNA-His
Source: RNAcentral
ACUUAGGUAGUUUAUAUAAAAUUUUGAUUUGUGGUGUCAGUGAAGCAUUAAUUUGUCUUAAGUA